This is a long non-coding RNA of Micropterus dolomieu (smallmouth bass), 747 nucleotides long. RefSeq lists it as uncharacterized. The transcript is spliced from 2 exons. NCBI's taxonomy places the organism in Eukaryota, Metazoa, Chordata, Actinopteri, Centrarchiformes, Centrarchidae. The record is from RefSeq and is a predicted model, not a curated record.
UCAGCCAAGUGGAGUGAAUUGAAUUUAGCAGGCAGUGUUUGCCUGUGACAUUUGAAUUAAUUAGUAAUGUCUAUGUACUGAUACUGAAAACAACUUUAUUAGCCUAUUAUUUUCUUUUCGUUUUUGGACACAACUUUUGGUUUUACGCAGCAGUUAGCAGGUGUUUCUGGACUCAGCCAUUUGUCAUGUGAGCUGUCAGUAAGAUGGAAGAAGAGUGUUUCACUCUCUUGGCAGAUUCAGACAUUCAGCAGCAUUCCCAAACGACUCCACUGAGAUGCCAGCCAGGGAUAACUCCUUCACUCCACCAAGCUAGUGCUGCGUGUGCAACAGGUAACUUUCUGUAUAUCUCUGACGACUGUUGGUGUUUAUGUAGUUAGCAAUAUCAGUAGGCUAAAUGAAGAGAAAGGGUUAGUUAGCCUGCUGCUGCACAUUAGCUGAUUCUUUUCUUUUGACUUUAUCGAUUUAGGCUAACGUUAUCCAUUUAAUUAUUAUUCUUUACACUUGUUAAAGCACUUUGUAAUUUGUUUUUGAAAAGUGCUCUACAAAUAAGGAUUAUUAUUAUUAUUAUUAUUAUUAUUAUUAAUUUCUCCUGAUGUCAUAUUUCCUGCCCUGGUGGGCUGAGGUGCCCAACAGUGGCUGGGUCUGAUGGCAGUGGCUGCUUUGACACCAUAUAAUGACUAGCGUCAGGGCAGGCUCAUUAAAUUAGGGCCCGAGCAUGAAAAAUGCGAGGUCCCUAUUGAAACUGAA